This 21-nucleotide microRNA is filed under the name Medicago truncatula (barrel medic). RNAcentral's name for it is "mtr-miR482-5p". Its record names the gene mtr-miR482-5p. The record is from miRBase by way of RNAcentral. Lineage: Eukaryota; Viridiplantae; Streptophyta; Magnoliopsida; Fabales; Fabaceae.
GGCAUGGGAUAGUAGGGAAGA